GACGAACGCUGGCGGCGUGCUUAACACAUGCAAGUCGAGCGGUAAGGCCCUUUCGGGGGUACACGAGCGGCGAACGGGUGAGUAACACGUGGGUGACCUGCCCUCAGCUCUGGGAUAAGCCUGGGAAACCGGGUCUAAUACUGGAUAUGACUCCAUGACGCAUGUUGUGGGGUGGAAAGCCUUGUGCGGCUGAGGAUGGGCCCGCGGCCUAUCAGCUUGUUGGUGGGGUGANGGCCUACCAAGGCGACGACGGGUAGCCGGCCUGAGAGGGCGACCGGGCCACACU
RNAcentral lists this ribosomal RNA (286 nucleotides) under uncultured bacterium. RNAcentral describes it as "partial 16S ribosomal RNA". It matches the Rfam family "Bacterial small subunit ribosomal RNA", at positions 28 to 314 of the family's 1533-position model. The record is from RNAcentral.